This is a long non-coding RNA of Pogona vitticeps (central bearded dragon), 1558 nucleotides long. The record is from Ensembl. Lineage: Eukaryota; Metazoa; Chordata; Lepidosauria; Squamata; Agamidae.
CCUGGUUCUUUUGGCAGGCCUUCCCAUCAGCUCCUACUCUUGUCUUCCCCAUCUUGGAUUUUCAUAUGUUAUCUCCAUUUUAUUUUUACUGUUUGCUUUAAUCCUAUCUGUUUUUGACUGUAAACCCCCCAGAGUGGAUUUCUCCACAUGGGCAGUAUAAAAAUCAAAUUAAACAAAUAAAUAAAUUAGACUAGGACUGGUAGAAAGUACUGGGUGGAUGGCACAACCCUUUAACCAAAUAUUUGCCAAACAGAGACUUGACCGUUCCUGAGCUCCACCUCAACAUCAAUUGCUAUUCUGAGUGCUAGAAGUUUUUUUUUUCCCCCUCCCCUAGAGACAUGUGUCUUCUUUUGCCCUGGAAAGCAUCCUCUUCUAGGAAAAGCCCUUCAUUUGAAGGGUUGCCUUCAGGUGCGAAUUGUGCAGGGAUUCCGUUUUGACCUCUGUUUCAGCCUUGCACAUCCCCUUUCCAAGUACUGCUCCAAAAUAUGUUGGGGGCCAUCUCCCCACACAAGGCAAAUUCUAGAGCCAGGCCAUUAUUCUGAAAAGAACACGCUUUAAACAUUGGCUCAUAUUAACAUCAUGUUUGGAGGGCAAGGAUUUAGGUAAAUAAGCAGCAACAAAGAGCCUCUGGUUCCUCAACCCUCAGGCAUUUUAUCUAUUCUUAUAAUGAGGCAAGGAGGCAGAGAUAAACCAGGCUGGAGGCAUCUUAGGUAAACUGGGGAAUGUAGUAUCUGAUAGCACGGAGCCACCCCGAGAGCAGGCAAGCCAUCCCUCUGAGUUAUUAAUACAUGAACUUUGCCACCACCCUCCCACGCUGCCUGCUGAUUUUCAUACCAUGUUGCAUAAUUAAUCUGUCAACAUUCUGUGACGAGGUAUAAAUAUUAAUAACACGAUCACACAGUUGGCUGUUCCUUUUAAAAUGCAAACUUUUGCAAAGAUAAAUUGCACACUUAAUCUUAACCAGCUUUCAGAAGUGUAUUUUUUUUCCUUUUAUUUCCCUUUCCCCCGCCCCCUGCAAACAAAGGAUACCUUCGUCUUCUGAAAAAUAAGAACGAGAGAGAAAAGUGUCCACGUUUACCUCUGUUUGGCACGGACUCUCAACUCUCAGUCUUUUUUCACCCCGAGUGAAACUUGAAAUAACAGCUACCCAGGAUCCAUAGCUCUGCUACUGCAGGAAGCAGUGAAGCAAUGCAGUUUAAAGAUGCAGCACAGGAGGAGAAUCGAUGCUUGAAUUACAGGGGGAAAGGAAGCAAAGUGUCCCCAGACCCCCCCCACACACACUUUAUAUAAUGCUCCCCCAUUUAGCUUCUAGGGUCUCAUGUCUUGGCUGAAAUUGAUCAGUCAGACUAAUCUCUGGUCCCUUGCCCAGCACUUCCAAGCAAAGGUGUAAACUCAGCUAUGAAUAAGAUCCAAAGUUGCAUUAUAGCUCUUAUGACUAGAGCUUUUUUCUUAAACUGAAUGGUCUCCGUUUCCAGUCUGCCAUUUAAAAAUCACAUGAGAGGGCCUGAAGGUUAUGGGUAGCCCGCUGGUGUCCAAAUGCUGCCCCCAGCACUUUAGA